UCUUCUUCCUGGACACGGACUCCUGCACGGGCACGAGUUCUUCACUGUCCCGACCCAAAUCUUCGAUGGAUUUGAUCCGUUCUUGACCUCUCUCCCACGCCCUACCCUCUAUAUAUUCUGCCCUACUCGUCCUAGUCGGGUUUUCGCCAAAAUCUCCGUCUCCUGUGCCCUACAGAGCCGCCCCGAUCUCGUCGCCGGAGUCCGCCGCCCGAAGCUCCUGUCGCCGGUCUCUUUCGCCGCCGUCAGAGGGGGAGCACAAGGACGACCGCAACGACCGUGGUCCGGAGCUCAACUACCCUGCCGCCGCUCCAGCCGCUCGCCAUCGCUAUCCGAGGAUCUCCCAGCCACCGUCGACGUCGCCAAGAUCACCCCCGAGGAAGUCCGCACCCGUAGGCCAUCCCCUCUUCACCUCCGUGGCCGUCACCUGCAUCACCACCGAACAGCCCGCGUGUCGUUCUUCCCCAAGUCCGGCGGUCUUCUCCUGUUUCUCCGAUUGUCCGGAGUGUGAAGCGGAUCAGAAUUAAGCAUUAGAGUACUUCAACAUCGUUCAAGG
This is a long non-coding RNA of Triticum dicoccoides, 553 nucleotides long. RefSeq lists it as uncharacterized. NCBI's taxonomy places the organism in Eukaryota, Viridiplantae, Streptophyta, Magnoliopsida, Poales, Poaceae. The record is from RefSeq and is a predicted model, not a curated record. The transcript has 3 exons.